Molecule: ribosomal RNA, 300 nt
Filed under: uncultured Pseudoalteromonas sp.
Lineage: Bacteria; Pseudomonadati; Pseudomonadota; Gammaproteobacteria; Alteromonadales; Pseudoalteromonadaceae
Description: bacterial SSU rRNA
Rfam family: Bacterial small subunit ribosomal RNA
Source: RNAcentral
AUGCGUUGGGAAUAUUCCUUUAGGUGGGGGACAACAGUUGGAAACGACUGCUAAUACCGCAUAAUGUCUACGGACCAGAGUGGGGGACCUUCGGGCCUCACGCCUAAAGAUUAAGCCCAAGUGGGAUUAGCUAGUUGGUUGAGGUAAAGGCUCACCAAGGCAACGAUCCCUAGCUGGUUUGAGAGGAUGAUCAGCCACACUGGAACUGAGACACGGUCCAGACUCCUACGGGAGGCAGCAGUGGGGAAUCUUGGACAAUGGGCGCAAGCCUGAUCCAGCCAUGCCGCGUGAGUGAUGAAG